UACGAAGGGGGCUAGCGUUGUUCGGAAUCACUGGGCGUAAAGCGCACGUAGGCGGCUUGUUAAGUCAGAGGUGAAAGCCUGGAGCUCAACUCCAGAACUGCCUUUGAUACUGGCGAGCUCGAGUAUGACAGAGGUUGGUGGAACUCCGAGUGUAGAGGUGAAAUUCGUAGAUAUUCGGAAGAACACCAGUGGCGAAGGCGGCCAACUGGGUCAUUACUGACGCUGAGGUGCGAAAGCGUGGGGAGCAAACAGG
This 253-nucleotide ribosomal RNA is filed under the name uncultured bacterium. RNAcentral describes it as "partial 16S ribosomal RNA". It matches the Rfam family "Bacterial small subunit ribosomal RNA", at positions 524 to 776 of the family's 1533-position model. The record is from RNAcentral.